CCAGACUCCUACGGGAGGCAGCAGUGGGGGAUAUUGCACAAUGGGGGAAACCCUGAUGCAGCGACGCCGCGUGGGUGAAGAAGCGCCUCGGCGCGUAAAGCCCUGUCAGCAGGGAAGAAAAUGACGGUACCUGACUAAGAAGCCCCGGCUAACUACGUGCUAGCAGCCGCGGUAAUACGUAGGGGGCAAGCGUUAUCCGGAUUUACUGGGUGUAAAGGGAGCGUAGACGGCAUGGCAAGUCUGAUGUGAAAACCCGGGGCUCAACCCCGGGACUGCAUUGGAAACUGUCAGGCUAGAGUGUCGGAGAGGCAAGUGGAAUUCCUAGUGUAGCGGUGAAAUGCGUAGAUAUUAGAAGGAACACCAGUGGCGAAGGCGGCUUGCUGGACGAUGACUGACGUUGAGGCUCGAAAGCGUGGGGAGCAAACAGGAUUAGAUACCCGUGUAC
RNAcentral lists this ribosomal RNA (445 nucleotides) under uncultured bacterium. Its description in RNAcentral is "bacterial SSU rRNA". It matches the Rfam family "Bacterial small subunit ribosomal RNA", at positions 331 to 793 of the family's 1533-position model. The record is from RNAcentral.